Molecule: ribosomal RNA, 293 nt
Filed under: uncultured bacterium
Lineage: Bacteria
Description: partial 16S ribosomal RNA
Rfam family: Bacterial small subunit ribosomal RNA
Source: RNAcentral
GGAUUAGAUACCCUGGUAGUCCACGCCGUAAACGAUGUCUACUAGUUGUUGGGAGACUUGAUCUCUUAGUAACGAAGCUAACGCGAUAAGUAGACCGCCUGGGGAGUACGGCCGCAAGGUUAAAACUCAAAUGAAUUGACGGGGGCCCGCACAAGCGGUGGAGCAUGUGGUUUAAUUCGAAGCAACGCGAAGAACCUUACCUACACUUGACAUCCAGAGAACUUGCUAGAGAUAGCUUGGUGCCUUCGGGAGCUCUGAGACAGGUGCUGCAUGGCUGUCGUCAGCUCGUGCCG